AAACAGUUCUUUGAAAUAGUAGUGAACAGAGUACGGAAGCCUGUGAGAAUCAGGCACGGUCGCGCCGCUGUAACCGGAUGCAGUUCUUCGAAUGCCACUGUCAACCGUGUGGUUGAUGGGAAGGUGAGGAAAUGCUUGAAGCCGGAAGUCAGAAGACGUUUCUUUUCAUGUGAGUGACA
This 179-nucleotide non-coding RNA is filed under the name Lentisphaerota bacterium. Lineage: Bacteria; Pseudomonadati; Lentisphaerota. The record is from RNAcentral.